This 194-nucleotide non-coding RNA is filed under the name Winslowiella iniecta. RNAcentral describes it as "Erwinia iniecta Lysine sequence". It matches the Rfam family "Lysine riboswitch aptamer". Rfam says of the family: Riboswitches are metabolite binding domains within certain messenger RNAs that serve as precision sensors for their corresponding targets. Allosteric rearrangement of mRNA structure is mediated by ligand binding, and this results in modulation of gene expression. This family includes riboswitches that sense lysine in a number of genes involved in lysine metabolism, including lysC. Lineage: Bacteria; Pseudomonadati; Pseudomonadota; Gammaproteobacteria; Enterobacterales; Erwiniaceae. The record is from Rfam by way of RNAcentral.
CAAGCCAGAAGAGGCGCGUCGCCCAGGUAGUGUGUCGGAGGAACCGAAUCCGAUGAAGGCACAUAAGGGGGUGCGACGCCGAGAUAUCCUACACACGGAGUGUCCGAUAUCGACUGCAGGGGCUGAAUCCCCUGGGUUGUCACCAGGGUCGUUCGGCAGUCGGACGACCUGCAAGGUGGGGCGCUUCUGGGUGU